RNAcentral lists this ribosomal RNA (405 nucleotides) under uncultured bacterium. RNAcentral describes it as "bacterial SSU rRNA". It matches the Rfam family "Bacterial small subunit ribosomal RNA", at positions 28 to 433 of the family's 1533-position model. The record is from RNAcentral.
GACGAACGCUGGCGGCGUGCUUAACACAUGCAAGUCGAGCGGUAAGGCCCUUUCGGGGGUACACGAGCGGCGAACGGGUGAGUAACACGUGGGUGACCUGCCCUCAGCUCUGGGAUAAGCCUGGGAAACCGGGUCUAAUACUGGAUAUGACUCCAUGACGCAUGUUGUGGGGUGGAAAGCCUUGUGCGGCUGAGGAUGGGCCCCGCGGCCUAUCAGCUUGUUGGUGGGGUGANGGCCUACCAAGGCGACGACGGGUAGCCGGCCUGAGAGGGCGACCGGCCACACUGGGACUGAGACACGGCCCAGACUCCUACGGGAGGCAGCAGUGGGGAAUAUUGGGCAAUGGCCGAAAGGCUGACCCAGCAACGCCGCGUGAGGGAUGAAGCUCUAAGGAGUGUAAACCUC